CCUGGGCGCUCCUUCUGGCCUCGGGGGUCCAGCACCCUUAUCAAACUCACUGUUCUAGCACCUGUUAAUUUAACAGGCUUCAUGAUACUAGUAAAUAUAUAAACCACAUGUCUGAAACGGUACAGGAAGACAGUCCUGAAACCAUUUUGACUCUCCCAAAUUGACCUCAAAUGUUUCUCUGCAAGGAGGGAGGAAAUGGAAAAACCUCCCCAUUGUCUCUUUGCUCACAAAACCUGUCUUAAGGGCGUAUCUGUGUAUGAAUAGGGUGAGCCUGUGACCUGGAUUCAGGAACUAAGUAUUUACCAUCACAAAAGAAUGGCCAGGCUGCCCAGGUAAUGCAAUCAGUGACCAUUAUCAGGUAUCUGAUUUCUGGCAGGCAGGAUUUCUGCUGUGGACCGCUUCCUGUGAUAUAUUUCUGCUGUAGACUGCCACUUCAGUGAUGUAUGUAUGUAUGGGGGUGGCGGCCUUAAGCUACAGGGUGGCAAUUUCAAAAGUCUAUAUAAGGGCUUGCACACCAAUGUUCGGGGUUCCUCCUCCCUCCUGCGUGGGGGAGGGGGUUGAGCACCCCGUUGCAACAGUUUAAUAAAGAUCAGGCUUACAAGUUGCUUUGCUUCUCAGUAUUCUCUGGUUGGCCUCUGUUAUUUCCUCCAACUGAUAGGGAACUCUUAAGGACUCUAUACGGGCUCUUCGAUACCCCAUAAGGGAAAAGGAGCAGAUUUUGUUUACAACAUGUAAGAGGGCAGAAUUGCAGGAACAAAACUAGAGGAACUGCCUGGGAGCUUUGGAAGAAUAAAGGGCAGAAAGGAUUCGAUCACCCUGUAGCCGUGUAAAACUGCACUGCUCGUACCAUGACGCACCACGCAUUUGCUCUCUCAACAGCGAUUUGCUUUGUCCUGGAUUGCAUGGGUGCUGUUUUGUUGCAGCAGAGUGUCGGGUGACAUGCUCUUUUCCAACUUGGAUACCCCGUGAUGGAUUAUUUGCCGCAGAAGCGGCCUCUGAAUAUUUGGCAGCCUGAAGUGGCGGUGGAGGGAGGAUGGCUAUUUCUGUGGAAACGAGUCAGCAGAACUUUUGAUGAACUGGCAACUCUGCUGCAUGAAGUCCUAGAUUAACGUUAAUGUAAUUAAACAGGGGCACUUGGUUCAUGAGAGGCAUCUGCUAAAUGCACAGAAGCAAUAAAAGUGAGAAAUUGUGGCUUCGCAGAGACUCGUCCCUGCCAGAAAGCCAGCCAAUUGUCAUUAGGAGAUUGCAAGCUCUUGGCCUUAGCUGCUGCCUGAGUUCUGUGGCCGAAACUGCAUUAUGCACACUUAGAGCUCGUAUUUGCAUCAUGACUGACGCCAAGUUCUUUUGCUAUGGGGCAACAGACGAAGAAGCCCUAGAGAAGGGGAUUCAGUGUUGUGUUAGGAAUGAUGCCAAUGAUUCUCAGAGUAGAGGACCCCUCUGUGGCUUGGGAUAGGCCUAGUGGUGGCUAGUCUCAUCCUGAGUGACAUUUGCACCCCACCCUUGCACCCAAGCAUCCAUGGGGUAGCGACUGGACCAAGUUCUACCUAUGGCAGCCUUCUCAAAGCUGGUGGCCUGCAGAUGUUAUGGACUGCAGCUCUCAUCUACCUCAGCAUCGUACAACUUUGCUGGCGUGGCCUGAUGGGAGCUACAGUCCAAAACAUUUGCUGGGCACCAGCUUGGGGAAGGCUAUGCCCCACAAACCUCACGAACCAAGCAGGAGCAUGAAGCCUCGUCUCCCUGGUCCAAAUCCAAUCCCCCGUCUGCCACAUCACCACACUGGCUUGCAAAUGAAAGUAGUGGCAAUUGUAAAGCACCAUUAAAUGGGCUGCUCUAUUAGGUAUAUAUGGCAAUGCCAGGAAAUCCCUUGCUUGAUUUCAUUUGUAACAUUGGCACAGCUUUUGGUACAGGUUGUUGUGCAUUCCUUUUCUUGUUUUUGUAUGUCCCUAAUGUGUUUUAUUGUGUUGUGCUGUUUUGCAAACAGCUCUGGCCAUUUGACUGAAGGGCAAAGUAUUAAUUUCUUAAACAAAGAACCACAGUAAAUGCUUCUAAAAUACACUGCUUUUAUAAGUACGUUUUGCAGUUUAAUCAGAGACAAGAACAGGCCUUUGGACACUUGUGGAGCAAUUUACUCAUCCCCGCUGAAAUCUUUGCGCCUUGCCCA
Long non-coding RNA from Zootoca vivipara (common lizard), 2161 nucleotides. RefSeq lists it as uncharacterized. Lineage: Eukaryota; Metazoa; Chordata; Lepidosauria; Squamata; Lacertidae. The record is from RefSeq and is a predicted model, not a curated record.